CAGAAAGAUGUUAUUGGAAACGAUCCCAAGAUGGAAGACAUCUUGCUCUCAAGAAGUCUUAAGUACAACUGAGCUUGCUAGCAAAACUAACCCAGGUUUUCCUCAUUUGUCUUUGGAAUGCACCCCAAAGGCUAAGACUAUUUAUUUUAUCACAUUAUAAGGGAGCGAGCUUACGAGUCAGAUUUUGAAGCACUGUCUUUAAAACUGUAACAUACCCAGAAGGGUUGGCAGAAUUGGGACUGGAAUAAAAUAGGAUACAAUUUGUAAAAUCAUCUUCAUAUAUUUGAAUAAGAUCUCCACUGACAAGGUGUUGAUAUGUGGAAGUAGUUACCUCGGGUCAAGUGUUCCUGCAGCCAGGCUGCAAGUACUCACUUCAAUGGAAAGCUCUGAGGUCCCUGCCAGCCCCUCUGGUCUACAGAUGUCUUGGGAUGCAGCCCCACCCUUUCUUAGUCACAGCAGUGGGA
This is a long non-coding RNA of Homo sapiens (human), 464 nucleotides long. Lineage: Eukaryota; Metazoa; Chordata; Mammalia; Primates; Hominidae. The record is from Ensembl.